GUAGGGAUUUGAUGACAAAAUUGGUUAAGUUAGGGGGAGAACCAAGUUUGAAAAAAUAUCUGGAUCAGGUGACAUCUCUUCUUUUUCUUUCUCUUUUUAUGCACUCUUCAUUUUUUCUACUCCAUUGAGGACAAUAUCGAUUAAGUUGGGGGGGAGAAUAAUAAAAUUUUUUGAAUUUCUAAAAGUCCUUAAGUAAGUUAGUAUUUAGUGUUUAAG
Molecule: long non-coding RNA, 216 nt
Filed under: Elaeis guineensis (African oil palm)
Lineage: Eukaryota; Viridiplantae; Streptophyta; Magnoliopsida; Arecales; Arecaceae
Description: long non-coding RNA (EGUI_LNC078019)
Source: RNAcentral